CGCCUGCGACCCCACGCCACGCAGAGGUGAGCAUACGCAGGACGUCCUCUAAUGCCACUUCCGUGGGUGCUAGGUUAGAGGCUGGGGGCGGUGCUGACCUUGAGAGUGCGCGGGGGGGAGGCGCAGGCGCAGCACAGGUAGGUGGGCGGGCGGGGGGUGUUGCUGCGACCGUGAGCCUCGGAGGUACGUUGGGUGGUUUGGGCCGGAGCGCAUCCUCGCCCGGGGAGGCGAUGGAGGCGCAGGUUGAUGAACGGGGUGGGGACUGACCCCAGAGGAUUUAGUGAGGAAGAAAAAUCACAGGCCGUGGUCGUGCUGAGACAACAGUAAUUGCCUGAACUCAGCCACGCGCUUUCUUUUACCUUCUCCUUUUCCAGGCUGCCCCUUCCUGGAGACUUUCCGGAUCUCCACAGACCUGUUUGUCCCUCCGUCAUCUCUUCUACCUGCUUUAGUGCGUCCUGCAGCGCUCCUCUUCCUCGGGGCAGUGGAAUUUGAUCCUCAGAUGUUUCUUCACUAUUCAUAUAUACCAGUUGAAGCCAGAAGAACAUCUACCAAGAGCAGAGAAACCAGGAGGAGAAUUCUGCCUAUUUAAUACAUUCCAAUGUGGACGGUUUCCUUUUAUUUUAAAAAAUAUAUAUCAUCAGCUGGGGAAAAAGUGAAACUCCCGUGUACCUCUUAAUUUGUGCUUUUUUCCAAAAUCUGUACCCAGCAACUCUGUGCCUUUUUUAUUUGGCUGUAAGCCACGGUUCUGGAGGCAGGCUUGAAGUGGAUAUACAGAGCACCUUUAACCCAGAAAUUAAUCUCACAACUUGGGAUCCUUGUUUAAGACGUGACUGUAUCUACAAUUUCACUUACAGGAUCUCUUUUUGCCAGUAUCUAGUUUUGUUAUAAAGCUGGUCUUGGGAGGUAAACUAGGAAGCUUAACAAGAAAUUUAAGAAGGUUGGGCAGGCAGGAGUGGCUAUACAUGUACCUGGAGAGCAUGAUACCCAAGCUAUAAAUGGUCGAAAGACCAUGGGAACCACUUCUGAGCCACCCAAAAGAAGCAUGCUUUAUAUGAAAAAGGGGCCUAGAGACAGAGUGUAUGAGUUGUUUUCACUUUAAAUUUUCUUUUUUUGGUGGGGGUGGAAGGGGGAUGAAUAAUGUGAUAAAGAUACAGGAAUUGUGAGUACCAACGUUGGAAGUAGCUGGAGGUGGGGUGGGGCUGAGAAAUAGUUUGUGAAACAGACCGGCUGCUAACGGAUCCAGAACUUCCCUGAGGGUUCCACCUCUGCUCUAUAGGGACAAGGUUGUAAAUAGACAAGCCCCAGGGCAUCUGCAGAUGAUAAGUGUGGUAGAGAAGGAUUGGAGUCGUUCUGCUUGUGUAUCUGUGGGAAGCAGCUGCUAUCCUUGAGGAAGAAAAGGUGGAGAAGGAAACUGGCUAUCAGUCUGUCAGUAACAACACAUCCUGUGAAGUCUUACUCUUUCAUUUCUGACACUUUGGUUCUUACAUCCAUCCUAAACCUGGCAGCCUCAUUGAGGUUCACAGAGCAUCUCCUCCUAUGUGACAGUAAGACUGGAAUUAUUAUCAGGAUGGAAUCUAUUCCUGCCAGAGUAAAACCACGAGAGGAAAUCACAGUCAGUAUUCGUUAUCUGCUUAUCAUUUUUAAUAGAUCAUGGAGUUCUAUGUUCCUUAUUUGGUAUUUGACAAUUUGAUAAAUAACCCUUGAUUAAUAUCCUUUA
Molecule: long non-coding RNA, 1717 nt
Filed under: Lynx pardinus (Iberian lynx)
Lineage: Eukaryota; Metazoa; Chordata; Mammalia; Carnivora; Felidae
Source: RNAcentral